RNAcentral lists this unclassified non-coding RNA (188 nucleotides) under uncultured Pezizales. Its description in RNAcentral is "sequence contains ITS2". The record is from RNAcentral. Lineage: Eukaryota; Fungi; Ascomycota; Pezizomycetes; Pezizales.
AAACAACUCGAGCCGCGGUUUGCCAAAAGCCAAGGCUCGGUCUUGGGUGCGAGGGACCGUGUUCGGGCCCCCCUCCGCCCGCAAUCCAGUGGCGGACGCCCCGUCGGCCGAGAGCGUGAUGAGCACCUCAAACGCUGCUGGCAGCCGGGAAGGUCCCGCCGUAACCCCCAAACAGAGUACAAUCUCCG